RNAcentral lists this ribosomal RNA (369 nucleotides) under Spiloscapha sp. GJK-2014. Its description in RNAcentral is "partial 12S ribosomal RNA". The record is from RNAcentral. Lineage: Eukaryota; Metazoa; Arthropoda; Insecta; Coleoptera; Tenebrionidae.
GAUACCCUAUUAUUAGAAAUGUAAAUGUUUUCUUGUAUUACUAUUAGUUAAGGACUUUAAAAUUAAAGAAUUUGGCGGUAUUUUAGUCUGUUCAGAGGAACCUGUUUUGUAAUUGAUAGUCCACGAUUAUUAGUACUUUUACUUUUAAUUUACAUAUCGUCGUUUAAAAAAUUUUAUUAGAACUAUAAUUUUUAGAAGUCUGUAUUUGGAUUUAUUUCAGAUCAAGGUGUAGUUUAUGUAAUAGUAAGAAUGGGUUACAUUUAAAUUAUUAUUGGUUUGUUUAUUUAGAAUUUUGCAAUAAAUUGGAUUUGAGAGUAAAUUUAAUUAUCUAUAAAAGUUGAUUUAGCUCUAAAAUAUGCACACAUCGCC